Molecule: ribosomal RNA, 460 nt
Filed under: Rhodococcoides kyotonense
Lineage: Bacteria; Bacillati; Actinomycetota; Actinomycetes; Mycobacteriales; Nocardiaceae
Description: bacterial SSU rRNA
Rfam family: Bacterial small subunit ribosomal RNA
Source: RNAcentral
UCAGCUUGUUGGUGGGGUAAUGGCCUACCAAGGCGACGACGGGUAGCCGACCUGAGAGGGUGACCGGCCACACUGGGACUGAGACACGGCCCAGACUCCUACGGGAGGCAGCAGUGGGGAAUAUUGCACAAUGGGCGAAAGCCUGAUGCAGCGACGCCGCGUGAGGGAUGAAGGCCUUCGGGUUGUAAACCUCUUUCAGCAGGGACGAAGCGCAAGUGACGGUACCUGCAGAAGAAGCACCGGCUAACUACGUGCCAGCAGCCGCGGUAAUACGUAGGGUGCGAGCGUUGUCCGGAAUUACUGGGCGUAAAGAGUUCGUAGGCGGUUUGUCGCGUCGUUUGUGAAAACCCGGGGCUCAACUUCGGGCUUGCAGGCGAUACGGGCAGACUUGAGUGUUUCAGGGGAGACUGGAAUUCCUGGUGUAGCGGUGAAAUGCGCAGAUAUCAGGAGGAACACCGGU